GACGAACGCUGGCGGCGUGCCUAAUACAUGCAGGUAGAACGCUGAAGGAGGAGCUUGCUCUUCUGGAUGAGUUGCGAACGGGUGAGUAACGCGUAGGUAACCUGCCUGGUAGCGGGGGAUAACUAUUGGAAACGAUAGCUAAUACCGCAUAACAGUAGAUGUUGCAUGACAUUUACUUAAAAGGUGCAAUUGCAUCACUACCAGAUGGACCUGCGUUGUAUUAGCUAGUUGGUGGGGUAACGGCUCACCAAGGCGACGAUACAUAGCCGACCUGAGAGGGGGAUCGGCCACACUGGGACUGAGACACGGCCCAGACUCCUACGGGAGGCAGCAGUAGGGAAUCUUCGGCAAUGGACGGAAGUCUGACCGAGCAACGCCGCGUGAGUGAAGAAGGUUUUCGGAUCGUAAAGCUCUGUUGUAAGAGAAGAACGAGUGUGAGAGUGGAAAGUUCACACUGUGACGGUAUCUUACCAGAAAGGGACGGCUAACUACGUG
This 495-nucleotide ribosomal RNA is filed under the name uncultured bacterium. RNAcentral describes it as "partial 16S ribosomal RNA". It matches the Rfam family "Bacterial small subunit ribosomal RNA", at positions 28 to 507 of the family's 1533-position model. The record is from RNAcentral.